RNAcentral lists this ribosomal RNA (460 nucleotides) under uncultured bacterium. RNAcentral's name for it is "partial 16S ribosomal RNA". It matches the Rfam family "Bacterial small subunit ribosomal RNA", at positions 338 to 795 of the family's 1533-position model. The record is from RNAcentral.
CCUACGGGUGGCAGCAGUGAGGAAUAUUGGUCAAUGGACGAGAGUCUGAACCAGCCAAGUAGCGUGAAGGAUGACUGCCCUAUGGGUUGUAAACUUCUUUUAUAUGGGAAUAAAAUGUUCCACGUGUGGGAUUUUGUAUGUACCAUAUGAAUAAGGAUCGGCUAACUCCGUGCCAGCAGCCGCGGUAAUACGGAGGAUCCGAGCGGUAUCCGGAUUUAUUGGGUUUAAAGGGAGCGUAGGUGGAUUGUUAAGUCAGUUGUGAAAGUUUGCGGCUCAACCGUAAAAUUGCAGUUGAAACUGGCAGUCUUGAGUACAGUAGAGGUGGGCGGAAUUCGUGGUGUAGCGGUGAAAUGCUUAGAUAUCACGAAGAACUCCGAUUGCGAAGGCAGUUCACUGGACUGCAACUGACACUGAGGCUCGAAAGUGUGGGUAUCAAACAGGAUUAAAUACCCCUGUAGUC